GACGAACGCUGGCGGCGUGCCUAAUACAUGCAAGUCGAACGCUUUUUCUUUCCCCGGAGCUUGCUCCACCGAAAGAAAAAGAGUGGCGAACGGGUGAGUAACACGUGGGUAACCUGCCCAUCAGAAGGGGAUAACACUUGGUAACAGGUGCUAAUACCGUAUAACACUAUUUUCCGCAUGGAAGAAAGUUGAAAGGCGCUUUUGCGUCACUGAUGGAUGGACCCGCGGUGCAUUAGCUAGUUGGUGAGGUAACGGCUCACCAAGGCAACGAUGCAUAGCCGACCGGAGAGGGUGAUCGGCCACACUGGGACUGAGACACGGCCCAGACUCCUACGGGAGGCAGCAGUAGGGAAUCUUCGGCAAUGGACGAAAGUCUGACCGAGCAACGCCGCGUGAGUGAAGAAGGUCUUCGGAUCGUAAAACUCUGUUGUUAGAGAAGAACAAGGAUGAGAGUAGAACGUUCAUCCCUUGACGGUAUCUAACCAGAAAGCCACGGCUAACUACGUGCCAGCCGCCGCCGUAA
This 523-nucleotide ribosomal RNA is filed under the name uncultured bacterium. RNAcentral describes it as "partial 16S ribosomal RNA". It matches the Rfam family "Bacterial small subunit ribosomal RNA", at positions 28 to 523 of the family's 1533-position model. The record is from RNAcentral.